CGAUUUAACCUAUGUGUAUCCCAAAAGAACACAAUGUAUAAUCUGAUAAAAUAUGUCAUACAACCUAUGACGCGUGGCUCAAUUCGGUGGUUCGACAUGCUCCAAAGCUGCUCAAUUUGUCUGUUUUCUGUCUGAUAAAGAAAAAUGUGAAAAAUAUAUGAGCUUAAAGCUCAGUGAGUGGAUAAUUUACAAAUAAACAUAUUUUUCUUUUAUGCAUAUAUUCUGAAAAUUCUUGCUCUAUCAAAACUUUGAGAAAUUCUGAAAUCUGGUAACACUUUUAAAACUAAACAUAAUUUCAUCAUAAAAUUCUUUGCUC
Molecule: long non-coding RNA, 316 nt
Filed under: Olea europaea subsp. europaea
Lineage: Eukaryota; Viridiplantae; Streptophyta; Magnoliopsida; Lamiales; Oleaceae
Source: RNAcentral